Molecule: long non-coding RNA, 702 nt
Organism: Astyanax mexicanus (Mexican tetra)
Lineage: Eukaryota; Metazoa; Chordata; Actinopteri; Characiformes; Acestrorhamphidae
Exons: 4
Source: RefSeq, a predicted model, not a curated record
GGUGGUUGCUAGGUGGUUGCUAAGGUGUUGCUAUGGUAUCCGGGGUGGUUGCUAAGAUGUUGCUAGGUGGUUGCUAAGGUGUUGCUAUGGUAUCUGGGGUGGUUGCUAAGAUGUUGCUACGUGGUUGCUAGGGUGUUGCUAUGGUAUCCGGGGUGGUUGCUAAGGUGUCGCUAGGUGGUUGCUAGGGUGUUGCUAGGUGGUUGCUAAGGUGUUGCUAUGGUAUCUGGGGUGGUUGCUAAGGUGUUUCUAAGUGGUUGCUAGGUGGUUGCUAAGGUGUUGCUAUGGUAUCCAGGGUGGUUGCUAAGAUGUUGCUAGGUGGUUGCUAAGGUGUUUCUAUGGUAUCUGGGGUGGUUGCUAAGGUGUUUCUAGGUGGUUGCUAGGUGGUUGCUAAGGUGUUGCUAUGGUAUCUGGGGUGGUUGCUAAGGUGUUUCUAGGUGGUUGCUAAGGUGUUGCUAUGGUAUCCGGGGUGGUUGCUAAGGUGUUGCUAGGUGGUUGCUAGGUGGUUGCUAAGGUGUUGCUAGGUGGUUGCUAAGGUGUUGCUAUGGUAUCUGGGGUGGUUGCUAAGGUGUUGCUAGGUGGUUGCUAGGUGGUUGCUAAGUGGUUGCUAGGUGGUUGCUAAGGUAUUGCUAGGUGGUUGCUAAGGUGUUGCUAUGGUAACCGGGGUGGUUGCUAAGGUGUUGCUAGGUGGUUGCUAGGUGGUUG